GGUGCCUGUACAAGAAAGAACAAAUGGUCGAAAGAAAACCUAAUGAGAACUUUGAUUUGAAAUCAGUUGAAUCAAAGCAUGUGCUCCAAAAAAAAACCACUCUGAGCUUCCCUUUUGAAAUCAAUUGAAAGAAACAGACUCAAUCUCGAUCAAUUUUGUCCUAUGGUUUCGAUUCCCUUAUUGAUCUAAUCCGUUUUACCAUUGAUUUUGUGUUAUCUUUACGACCAGGGGCAAUCGAAAGGUUCAAUUUCUUCUCCUUCUUCUUUCGAACGUAGCUCUGGUGACAUAUUAAUCUAUCUAACCUUAAUUAUGGAUCUUGUUGGCAUUGAUGUCUUCUGCAAUGCGAAGAAGGUUAUUGAUGCUCUUCAAAGCAGGGGCGUAGCUCUGGAUUUAGCUUGGUGUGCAGAGAACAAAACGAGCUUGAAGAAAUCAAAGUGAUUUUUCAGAAACCAUAAGUAUGCAAUUAGAUUGGAUAUUCUCGUAUCCAGGAUUUUGGACGAUAUUCUUUGGGAAAUACUGCUAAAUGACUGUUGUUAGUCUAGGUCCAUAGAUUCUUUAAGAAUCCGUUUUUACUGUUUUGUAUAUUCCUUCCGACCUCUGAUUUAAAUGGUCAUUCUACACUUAAAAGUGGGGAUACUGGAUACAAAUGCUACAUCAUGUUAGUUUGGUUAAGCUUAACAAUGGGGCUAGUUUGAUGUUAAGCUUUAUUGAGGUUAGUAUAGUGGCGAUACCAGAUACAUGGCUAAUUUAAUCGUUCCAUGGCUCCUGGGGUAAGCUUUGUCUGUUUUGCAACCUACUCCGAGUCCUUGGGAUAUCGGCAACUCAAACAUUGGAAAGUUUCAUAUAAAGAAGACUUAAAACUAAGCGAAUAGAAACAAAUAAAAUAAAAAAAAGACUACCUUCGUGUGAAUGUCAAAAAUAGAGUUAACAAGUAGUCGAAAGCCUACCCCAUAUCCUGCUGAGAUCAGUACCAUUGCCACUCUCCAACUCCGAGAUCACACCCUCCGCCUCUUUCUGAUAUUAAAAAGAAAAUCAUGGUUCGCUGCUAUGCUUGCUUCAACAAAUGCUAAUGUAAUUUAGGGGACUUAGGAUUUUUUUGUUUAGAGAAGGAACAGAAUGAUACAGCAUGUUAGUUUGGUUAAGGUUAGCAAUGGGGCUAGUUCGAUGGUAAGCUUUCUUGAGGUUAAUAUGGGUUCUGCAUUUUUACUUGUUGCAUUGGAAAAUGUGGCAAUCUGAAACAUGUCAAGUUGCGUGAGGAUCUUCUCCAUCGGUGCUACUUGCUAAACAGUGAACCUUCCAUAGACUUUGAUGCCAACAUCCUCAUCUUGCAAUAUUAUGACUAAAAAUUGUCUGCACUUACAAUACGUUCAAUUCUUAUCCAUCAAAACCAAAAGAAUCAAAAAAAUCAAGAGUAACAGGAGCUGAUGCUUAGUAAAUUUGGUUCCAGUUCAUGGGCAAUGUACGAGCUGUCUUUCUCUUAAAUGGAAUUAUCCAUUGGACAUAUUAUACAGGAGUUAUGGUCUUUUUCUGAUAAUAUACACUUUGACAUGAGACCAUAAUUAAUGUACACUUAAGCUACCUUGAACCACUUUGACAUGAGACCAUAAUUCAGAUGUGCUUCCGUUGAACCAAUAUUAGUUUGCACAGCCAUCUAUAAUCAAAUAAGCUACCUAUUACGUGUUAUGUAUGUUAAAAACAAAUAACAGCCAUCUACAAUCAAACUUCGGUCAACAGUUACGGUCAAAUUCGUGUGAGCCGUUAAAUCUAAUGUUGAGAACAGAUGAACGGCUACAAUGUAACCCUAAUCUGUACGGGAUACAUCUCAAAACCUUAUAAGUAGAAUAGUUGCCCUUUUUAUUCUCAGCCGCCUACUAAUGUACAACUCUCUCUGUCCACACAAUGAUUUUCCUCUCAAAAAAUUAUCAUAUUUUCUAGGUCAACUUUUAUCAUAUUUUUAGAUUCUCUUCUAGUGAUGAUGCCAACUUCAGUUACAGAUGGACGACAGGGUCUCCUAUAUAUGUGAGAGAACAAUGACAAACUGGUUGAUUUGAAUUGAGCGAGGAGGAAUAUGUUAACGGACAGCCUCUUUUAUCAUAAAUAAAAUGCCACUACAUAUCUGCUGGUUUUGAAGAUU
Long non-coding RNA from Papaver somniferum (opium poppy), 2134 nucleotides. RefSeq lists it as uncharacterized. The transcript is spliced from 3 exons. NCBI's taxonomy places the organism in Eukaryota, Viridiplantae, Streptophyta, Magnoliopsida, Ranunculales, Papaveraceae. The record is from RefSeq and is a predicted model, not a curated record.